GACAGAGGGUGCAAACGUUGUUCGGAAUUACUGGGCGUAAAGCGCGUGUAGGCGGCUAAGUAAGUCGGGCGUGAAAUCCCACGGCUCAACCGUGGAAGUGCACUCGAAACUGCGUAGCUAGAGUCCUGGAGAGGAAGGUGGAAUGCUUGGUGUAGAGGUGAAAUUCGUAGAUAUCAAGCGGAACACCGGUGGCGAAGGCGGCCUUCUGGACAGUGACUGACGCUGAGACGCGAAAGCGUGGGGAGCAAACAGG
This 253-nucleotide ribosomal RNA is filed under the name uncultured bacterium. Its description in RNAcentral is "partial 16S ribosomal RNA". It matches the Rfam family "Bacterial small subunit ribosomal RNA", at positions 524 to 776 of the family's 1533-position model. RNAcentral also lists the same sequence under 1 other name. The record is from RNAcentral.